AGAGUUUGAUCAUGGCUACAGAACGAACGCUGGCGGCGCGUCUUAAACAUGCAAGUCGAACGAUCUGUAGCAAUACAGGGAGUGGCGGACGGGUGAGGAACACGUAGGAAUCUACCUUGAAGAGCGGGACAACUUUGGGAAACCGGGGCUAAUACCGCAUAGUACAGAGAUGUUAAAGGGCUAGCAAUAGUCGCUUCGAGAUGAGCCUGCGGUCUAUCAGCUUGUUGGUGAGGUAAUGGCUCACCAAGGCUACGACGGAUAGCCGGUCUGAGAGGAUGAUCGGCCACACUGGCACUGAGACACGGGCCAGACUCCUACGGGAGGCAGCAGUUAAGAAUCUUGCGCAAUGGGGGAAACCCUGACGCAGCGACGCCGCGUGAAGGAUGAAGGCUUUCGGGUUGUAAACUUCGGUAGACUGGGAAGAAGAAAUACGUUCGUUGAGGGCGUAUAGUGACGGUACCAGUCUGAAGCCCCGGCUAAUUACGUG
Molecule: ribosomal RNA, 487 nt
Filed under: uncultured bacterium
Lineage: Bacteria
Description: bacterial SSU rRNA
Rfam family: Bacterial small subunit ribosomal RNA
Source: RNAcentral